This 688-nucleotide long non-coding RNA is filed under the name Gossypium barbadense (sea-island cotton). Its description in RNAcentral is "long non-coding RNA (GBAR_LNC006708)". The record is from RNAcentral. Lineage: Eukaryota; Viridiplantae; Streptophyta; Magnoliopsida; Malvales; Malvaceae.
GUAUCCGGUUCCAUAUUCGGAUCCGCCUCCUUCAUACUCUGCCUUUCGGCCAUACCCAGAUCCGUAUUCAGAUUCGGGUUCACCAUAGCUGGGUCUCCUCCCAUAUUCGGAUCCAUAUUCACCGUGCUCUGGUUUCCUACUAUACUCAGAUCUGUACUCGGACUCUUGUUCGCCAUAUUCGGGUCUCCGGCCAUACCCAGAUUCAAAUUCAGGAGGCGGAGGCUGCUCAAAUUCGGGUCUCCGUCGAUACCCAGAUCCAAACUCAGGCGGCGGAGGCUGCUCAAAUUCUGAUCUCCGGCCGGAUCCGAAAUCCGGUUGAUGUGAAUGCUCAUAUGCCGGCCUCCGGCCAUGCCCAGAUCCAAACUCCUCAGGAGGCUGCUCGAAUUCAGGUCUUCGGCCAUAAUCAGAUUCAAAUUCGGAUCCGGGUCGUCCGAAAUCCGGCUUGCGUCCAUGACCAGAUUCGAAUUGCUCAUAUUCAGGUUUCCUUCCAUAGUCACCAGAUCCAGCACCAAAAGCAGGUGCAGGUUCGAAUCGUCCAGGUCGGGGCUUGGGUUUAAGAUAGCUACUGUAUUCAGUUUCAAGAGCUUCGUCGGCAUAAGCUAAGUGCGCGUAACCGGAAGAGAAAUCGGGACGUGCAUAAUCAAAGUCGCCAUCGGAGGGUGUAGCGGAAGGGUAGCAAGUCUCAUCG